Molecule: ribosomal RNA, 331 nt
Filed under: uncultured bacterium
Lineage: Bacteria
Description: bacterial SSU rRNA
Rfam family: Bacterial small subunit ribosomal RNA
Source: RNAcentral
UCGUGUAGGUGGUUUUCCGCAUCGAAUCUGAAAGCCCGAGGCUUAACCUCGGCGUUGGAUUCGAGAUGGGGAGACUCGAGGGCGAGAGAGGCAAGGGGAACUCACGGUGGAGCAGUGAAAUGCGUUGAUAUCGUGAGGAACACCAAAGGCGAAGGCACCUUGCUGGCUCGCAUCUGACACUCAGACACGAAAGCUAGGGGAGCGAAGCAGAUUAGAGACCUGCGUAGUCCUAGCCCUAAACGCAUGUCUGCUAGUUACCCCGCCGCAAGGCGGGGCGACGUAAGCUAACGCGUUAAGCAGACCGCCUGGGGAGUACGGCCGCAAGGCUAAA